ACUAAACUAAAAAUCUCUUGUCUCUUUUUUUCCAUUUUCCUUCUUGCCAACUCUAUCCUGUCUCCAAGUGCAGACCGUUUUGUGGCGACUCGACGUAAGUUCACACAGGAAUGACAUUUUCAUGAAUAACGCAGGGUGCCUUUAUUCAAUACACCCCUCAUCAUGUCCAAACUUUUUUUUUUUCCCCUUUGAUAAUGUAAUAUUCACAGUUGGAAAUGAACAGGUUAAAUGUGAUAUACAAUACACUUAUUUGCAUUUUAUUUCCAAUCAUUGGAAAGCAAUUUGUUACUAUUAAAUUGUGGAGUUCAUCAUGAAAAUCCAAAUAAUUACUAAUUGAAUGUGAUUACCUCCUUUGUGCAGCUCUUUAUAUUAGAAAAAAAAUCUAAUUUAAUGUUCCUUAAUAUGGAAUAGACAAUCACUAUCUAUGCCGCCAUUGAUUUAUUUUAUUAUUCAUUUAAUCCUAUGUUUAGAAAUGUGUAUAUCCUUCUAAGGUACUUUGCAUGCUUCUGUUUACAGCUUACGGAGCUGCUUGGCCUCAUAACUUAUUACAUUGUAGGAAUACUUAAAACACGGUAAAGGAAAUAACAUUUUCCAAAACACAUCAUAUUUUAUCAGCAGAGUAAUCCAUUGUUGUUACUGCUUACCAGGACAUGGUUAUAAACAUUAUAGAGGGAACUUAAAAUAAAGAGUCUAAAAUGCGCAGGGAUAAUAGAAACUUUUGUAAAAUACUUUGAGGUCCUAAAUUUAAAUUUAUGGUUCUGUGGUUGGAUUCAAGUUGGACUCGCUGGAGGAUGUGGUGGAGAGAUGUACUGUUAGGAAGGUGGAGGCUAUUCAAAAGAAUUUGGCUCACCCACUUCACAACACCUUGGUGGACCGAAAGGCCUAUGGUGGUGGACGGCUCCUCUCUCUGCUGCAGGACAGAAAGACUCAUAAGAUCUUUUGUACCCACAGCCAUCAGACUCUACAAUUUAAAUAGUAGAUGACUUUUUGAGACAUGACAAGUGAGACUACAGACAAUUGAAUUUCCCUUAGGGGAUAAAUAAAGUUCUUUGUAUCUUAAAUACAUUUUCAGUUAUCUCUUAUGAACACUGUAUUUUUAGUCAUUAAUUUGAUUGAAGGGUUAUCGAACAAGACAAUGGUCACUUCCAGCUUUUGACUCAACUUGACUUUUGAUAGAUGUAUAGUUGAGGACAGCCACUUGGUGGAUUGAGUAAAAGUACAUUAUAAUCUCACUAGCUUUGGGUGGAUGUUGGAUCAUUUAAUUUUGUCUUUAAUAAAAAAAGAUUAAUGUUUUUUUCCAUUGUGUCUUACAGGUAUCCUGUCCAGUCUCCCCACUCUCCCCUAUCAUUUUGGUCCCUCUGACUUUCCUGUCUCCUCUACCACUCUUUCUGAUUGAAAAGCCACUCUGCCUUUCUAUCCCCCUUCUAUCCCACUCUGGCUACUAAUACAAUCCUUGAACAAAUCUUUGAUACCAUUGAAACAAAUCUUUGAGACCCUUUGCAAUAAAUCUUUGAGACCUUUUGCAACAAAUCAUUUGAGACCCUUUUGCAACAAAUCAUUUGAGACCCCUUUGCAACAAAUCAUUUGAGACCCCUUUGCAAUAAAUCUUUUUGAGACCUAUUUUAACAAGCCACCUUUUUUGAGAAACCUUUGUAAACAAUCAACCCUUUUUUUGAGAAACCGAACUUCUGAAAAGCUGUACAUUUAAUACAACCACUGUAUUGGAAAAAGCCCUAAUUUUGCAAAAGUCUCAUUGUUGUUCUAGGUUUUCCUUUCCUGUCUGUGGAUCCAGAGUUUCACCAGAAGAAGUGUCAUCAGCACCACCAUAUCUGCGUCCCUGAUUUUGAAAGAAAAAAUAAACACGUUUCAUAUAGAAUAUUUGACUUGCAUAUUAUUUCAAGCACAAAGUUCAAAGAUUUACAAAUAGUUGCUGAUUUGUGUUUUUUUCUGAAAACAUUUAUAUAGCCUUGCCUAGGAUUUCCUUAGAAAACAUUUGAUAAACUAUUGUGGUAUACACACAGUUAUAAAUUAGAUAUUUUGGAGACUAUAAGAGCUGUUAAAUAACCUCCUCUCUUUAAGAAAUAAAGCGUUUUGUCUGUACUGGUGCUUGUCAUUAACUUUAAAUUGUUGAAUAAACACAUUGUUGUGUAAGGACAGCUACAAUGCCGAGAAAGAGUAAGAGGUCACAGGUUGCAAGCCAGCGCUGGCAGAG
RNAcentral lists this long non-coding RNA (2212 nucleotides) under Xyrichtys novacula (pearly razorfish). The record is from RNAcentral. Lineage: Eukaryota; Metazoa; Chordata; Actinopteri; Labriformes; Labridae.